AACUAACGCUGGCGGCGUGCCUAACACAUGCAAGUCGUACGAGAAAGCCGGCUUCGGCUGGUGAGUAAAGUGGCGCACGGGUGAGUAACGCGUGGAUAAUCUGCCCUUAAGUGUGGAAUAACGUACCGAAAGGUGCGCUAAUACCGCAUAAUGCCUGGCAACACAAGUUGUCCGGCCAAAGAAGGCCUCUGUUUACAAGCUUUCGCUUCAGGAUGAGUCCGCGUACCAUUAGCUUGUUGGUGGGGUAAUGGCCUACCAAGGCUGCGAUGGUUAGCUGGUCUGAGAGGAUGAUCAGCCACACUGGAACUGAGACACGGUCCAGACUCCUACGGGAGGCAGCAGUGAGGAAUAUUGCGCAAUGGGGGCAACCCUGACGCAGCAACGCCGCGUGAGUGAGGAAGGUUUUCGGACUGUAAAGCUCUGUCGAGCGGGAAGAAGUGUACCAUGGCUAAUGUCCAUGAUAUUUGACGGUACCGCUAGAGG
This 483-nucleotide ribosomal RNA is filed under the name uncultured bacterium. RNAcentral's name for it is "bacterial SSU rRNA". It matches the Rfam family "Bacterial small subunit ribosomal RNA", at positions 29 to 487 of the family's 1533-position model. The record is from RNAcentral.